Molecule: ribosomal RNA, 525 nt
Filed under: Lacticaseibacillus paracasei subsp. paracasei
Lineage: Bacteria; Bacillati; Bacillota; Bacilli; Lactobacillales; Lactobacillaceae
Description: bacterial SSU rRNA
Rfam family: Bacterial small subunit ribosomal RNA
Source: RNAcentral
CAGGAUGAACGCUGGCGGCGUGCCUAAUACAUGCAAGUCGAACGAGUUCUCGUUGAUGAUCGGUGCUUGCACCGAGAUUCAACAUGGAACGAGUGGCGGACGGGUGAGUAACACGUGGGUAACCUGCCCUUAAGUGGGGGAUAACAUUUGGAAACAGAUGCUAAUACCGCAUAGAUCCAAGAACCGCAUGGUUCUUGGCUGAAAGAUGGCGUAAGCUAUCGCUUUUGGAUGGACCCGCGGCGUAUUAGCUAGUUGGUGAGGUAACGGCUCACCAAGGCGAUGAUACGUAGCCGAACUGAGAGGUUGAUCGGCCACAUUGGGACUGAGACACGGCCCAAACUCCUACGGGAGGCAGCAGUAGGGAAUCUUCCACAAUGGACGCAAGUCUGAUGGAGCAACGCCGCGUGAGUGAAGAAGGCUUUCGGGUCGUAAAACUCUGUUGUUGGAGAAGAAUGGYCGGCAGAGUAACUGUUGUCGGCGUGACGGUAUCCAACCAGAAAGCCACGGCUAACUACGUGCAACAGG